RNAcentral lists this long non-coding RNA (1879 nucleotides) under Theobroma cacao (cacao). Its description in RNAcentral is "long non-coding RNA (TCAC_LNC006056)". Lineage: Eukaryota; Viridiplantae; Streptophyta; Magnoliopsida; Malvales; Malvaceae. The record is from RNAcentral.
CCACCUUCAUGCUCCCAGCGCCAUUUUCACCCACUUAACGCCAUUUUCAUGCUCCCAUGUCAUUUCACCUUGCCACCAUGCAUUUGAAAAGAAAAAUAGAGAGAAUCAGCCAAGGAAAGAAAGGAGAGAAAAGUGAGAGGCUUGGGUAGUAAGUUAUUCAAGAGUAAUUGAAGAAAUAUUAAGUGGGUCUCAAGACUCAAGAAACAUAAGGUAAGGAUUUUUGUGUUUUAAGCUCAUGGUUGGUUAAAUCUUUGGAGAAAUAAUGUGUGAACCAUUUUACGGUAGCUAUGGUGGCCAUGGGUGUGAGGAAAUUAUGAAUUUUGUUGGGUGAAAUCCAAGCUAAAACCAAAUGGUAAGCUUAAUGUUACAAUUUGAAGCCUAUGAUUGGUUUAAUAUGGUGAGAAUGAUUGUGUGCAAUAUGUAGGGUUAUUGUGAUGUCAUGGGUAUGGAUGGAAGGCAAUUUUAUCAAUUGUAAGCUUGUAAAUAAUUGAGUGAAAGUGAGGCUGAUUGUUACUGCCAUAUAUGUGGAUUAUGUGUGAAAAUGUAAGACAAAUUUGAAUGAAAAUGGCUAGAAAAGUUUAAUAUGGGUGCUAGAGUCAUAAUUUAGUUGUCGAUAAUUAUAAUUUAAAGAAUUACGUAAGUAAAGGAUAAAGGCAACUAUGAUAAAAAUGUGUCAAGAUAUAAGUUAGUUGAAUGAGGAUUCAUGAUUGAAGGAAAAAUAGAAGUAAAAAUGAUGUACACUAAAAAUAUUGAAUUUGGAUUAUUGCUAGGAAGUGCAAAAGUAAAGAUAGUAGACUGUGGUGGCAUGUCGGAGGAAAUAACGAGUGAUCGACAAGUAGAAAUAGCUAGAUAUGCCUCCGAACUAAUAGCGAUAUAAUAUCCCGCUAUCUUAAGGUGAGUGAACUUGCAUUAAAAUGUUUUGGGAUAAAUGCAUAUGUGUUUAAUUGAAUCACCUGAAAUGUUUUAUCGAACUUUUCUUUAAAACGUGCAUGGGAACAAGCCCUUGAUGAAAUGUUUUUAUGUGGUAAAAUAUGUGAGAUAAUGAAACCAUAUGUUCUUAUAUUAUGUGGAUAUGUGUGUUAUGCUUUGAGUGAUAAUGCUGUAUAAUAGCUAUAAUCGUGCAUGUGUGGUGUGGGAGUGCACGUGAUGGUGUCGGUGGUGUGCGGUGUGUGAGUGCACAUGCCGGUAAUGAUGUGGGCGGGAGUGCGUGUGAUGAUAUUGAAAUGUGCGUGUAGGGAGUACACAUGAUGAUAUUGAAAUGUGCGUGUAGGGCGUGCACAUGAUGAUAUUGCCUUGUGCGUGUAAGGAGUGCACAUGAGAUGAGUAAGGCAACGACAGUGUACAUGUGUAUAUAUAUAUGCUAUAGACAAGUUAUGAAAAUAAAAAAUAUGAUUAUACUAUAUGCUAUAGAAUGCCUUUCCGCUGUAGCGAGAUUCGCUCUGCUAUGCUUGCCUUGCUUGAAUUUCUUAAAUGUUUUAAAAUGAGUUGAAAAACAUCACGGCAUCGAGUUUUGUUAAUAAUAUAUAAAAUUGCAUUGUUUUAACACAAAUGCAUCAUGUUUUCGAAAAGCUCUCCGUAUCGUUUGCUUGUUCCCUUCUUAUGUUCAUUCACUGGGUUUGUACUUACUUUUUUUAACUUCAUGUUUUAGAUUCGAAGGUAGUUGGGACCUAGAUUGAAGUGUCCAUUUGUAUUCACCAUUUGGUAGGUACCAUGGUAUCCUGUAACGGCACCCACGCCUAGAGUCACUCCACUAAUAGUCAAGGUCUCUUGUUAGUGUAUAUAUUUACUGAAAUGUAAAUUAUGAGAUUGUUAUGCACUCUGUAUGUUGAUUGAUUACCCCUAUCGGUUAGGGUUAAAGAAUGAUAACCAUAUUUUGGGG